ACGUGCGUCCAAGACUCACUGAGGAUGCUAGCUUGUCUCCAGCCCGCUGGCUCCCUGGCCCUGGGCUCAGGAGGAAGUGGCUCCCCCUGCCCGUCUGGCUUCUGUCUAUCUGCAGUUCAGUGCAGCAAGCCUGCCGACUGCUCCUGGCUCCUGCUGUCUGGGUCACGAUGAUGGCUCUGUAGCUGUGUCUUGAAUCAGCUUGCCUCUGGAAGGGUGAGAGAAAGCGGAUCUGGCUUAUCCAACUCUCUCCCUUCUCUGGUAGAGGCUAAAUCCUUGCAGCUCUGGCAGGACCCCCCACCCCCACCCUCGGCUUCCCACCAGAGCUUGCCCAUGCUUGCUCAGCAGGAACAAGGCCCAAAGAGCUGUCGGAGCAUCUCCCAGACUGCGGCUGCUGAGAGCUAUCUCCUCGCAAGGUGGCCCCAUCUCCUGCUGGUUUCUGGCCAUCAGCCUACUUGCCAACACUCUGACCCCGAGAGCGGUCUCCACCAAUCCCGCUUCCCUAUGGAGACACCCUGGCCAGCUGGGAAAACUCUGCUGCCCUCAGGGCUCCACUCUGACUGUUCCAGAUAACUUCUCCACCUGGCAUUCCAUUCCAGCUUUCAUGGUGCUGCCAAUGCCACGUGCGCACUCCCACACUGCCAACCCCUCCCCAUCAGAACUGUUCAAAAGUACCCAGCUAGGGGCGCCUGGGUGGCACAGCGGUUG
Long non-coding RNA from Ailuropoda melanoleuca (giant panda), 705 nucleotides. RefSeq lists it as uncharacterized. The record is from RefSeq and is a predicted model, not a curated record. The transcript is spliced from 3 exons. Lineage: Eukaryota; Metazoa; Chordata; Mammalia; Carnivora; Ursidae.